Molecule: long non-coding RNA, 870 nt
Organism: Anastrepha ludens (Mexican fruit fly)
Lineage: Eukaryota; Metazoa; Arthropoda; Insecta; Diptera; Tephritidae
Exons: 3
Source: RefSeq, a predicted model, not a curated record
AGGAAAACGGGUUGGUUUCAGUGUUGCCGUUUUGAUUAUUUUUAAACAAAAUUGGCUACUCAUUUUUCUCUUCACGCAUUUUGGUUAUUUGCUUUUAUAUUUCUAACUUUUUAAGCUGCGAAAGUGAAUGACCAAAAAAGGAUUGAGCUAUUGACUCAGCAUAUAUGCCGUUUAAAUUUAAAUACCAAGCAAAUCAGAGAUGUUUUGUUGCUGUAACGGUAUAAACAAUUCCUCCAAAUUUUAGGGAAAUGCUAUUGGAGUCCGGGUCGUUCCGCUAACGUAGUAUUAAUGUGCCAUUAAUAACACAAUUUCGAAUAUCAAUAGAAAACGAUCUUUCUAUGGUAUUGCAUUUGCUUUUGGAUGGAAGUUAAAUGAAUUAAAGACGCUCAAGACGUGUUGAGACUGAACUUGUUUUUAAGCGCAUAAAGUAGUUCUUAGAUAUAUGGCGCUAACAUCCUUAAUUGGGCGUUUGGCUGAGUUGUUCCUCCUAUUUGUGGUGUGCGUCUUUUUCAUGUUGAUCCAUAAAUAGAGAUACCUAUAGUUUUAAGACGACUCCGAAUGACAAAUGGUUUUUUAUGAGGAGCUUUCCCAUGGCACAGGAGGUUUGCCAUUGCCUGCCGACGGGCUACUGCUAUUAGAAACAAUGUCUAUCUGAUUGGUGUUUCACGUAUUCGCUAGUUGUUUUUCUAUAAAAACUUAAGCAAUUAUGAUUCCAAUAAACUGUAGUUUUAAUAAGUCCAAAACUUUGUUGAUAACAAAAGUCUGGUAAAUGGUUGGCAACGCGUUACUAGCUCAAAUGUUCUGCAACAUUGUUAUCUGACGGUAAUAAGCAAGAAAUCUGCGUGUGCCUAAGCUGAUUUGGGAUGAAUA